AGAAUCAACGCUGGCGGCGUGCCUAACACAUGCAAGUCGAACGAGAAAGUGGAGCAAUCCAUGAGUAAAGUGGCGACCGGGUGAGUAACACGUGACUAACCUACCUUCGAGUGGGGGAUAACCUCGGGAAACCGAGGCUAAUACCGCAUAACAUCGCAAGAUCAAAGCAGCAAUGCGCUGGAAGAGGGGGUCGCGGCUGAUUAGCUAGUUGGCGGGGUAACGGCCCACCAAGGCGAAGAUCGGUAGCCGGCCUGAGAGGGCGCACGGCCACACUGGAACUGAAACACGGUCCAGACUCCUACGGGAGGCAGCAGUGGGGAAUUUUGCGCAAUGGGGGAAACCCUGACGCAGCAACGCCGCGUGGAGGAUGAAGCCCUUGGGGCGUAAACUCCUUUCGACCAAGACGAUAAUGACGGUACUGGUGGAAGAAGCACCGGCUAACUCUGUGCCAGCAGCCGC
This 459-nucleotide ribosomal RNA is filed under the name uncultured bacterium. RNAcentral describes it as "SSU rRNA". It matches the Rfam family "Bacterial small subunit ribosomal RNA", at positions 26 to 518 of the family's 1533-position model. The record is from RNAcentral.